UUUUGUUUGAUUUUUGGGGUGGUUUUGUUUGAUUAUUUUUGGGGGGGUUUGUUUGAUUUUUUUGGAGGGAUUUCGUUUGAUUUUUGGGGGCUCCUAGGAGAUUUUGGGGUGCCCCAUGGUGGAUUUUGGAGGUACACUGUAAAUCAAGAGGCUGCGAGGCGUCGUCCGAGGAGUUUAUUGGGGUUUGUUCCAUUUUUGGGGGGUUUGUUUCAUUUCUGGGGGGCUCCCAGCAGAUUUGGGGAGUCCAGGUGGUUUUGGAGAUGCCCAGGUGGAUCUGGAGGCGCUCCCAGCAGAGCUUCCCCUGCCCAGGGUCCAUUCCAGCAGCUCCGGGUGCUCCCACAGCCGAUCCCUCGCAGACUUCGGGGUCCCCCUUGCAGAUCUUUGGCUCCCCCGAUCUCUGGGGGUCCCGGGCAGGUCUGGGGUCCCCCAGCAGCCCCGGGGCUCCCUAGAAGCCCCUCUGGAGCAGCCACUGCCGCACCUGGGGCGCCCAGUGCCCGCGCAGCCGCAGCGUCCCCGUCACCUCGUUCACCUGCGCCGCCACCUCGGGGACCCCCAGGGACCCCAGGAACGCCCCCAGGUCCCGCUGCAGCGCCUGGGGGGGCACGGGGGGGUCAGGGGGAGCCCCGGAGCCCCCCCGGAGCCCCCCGAGCCCCCCACUCACCCAGAUGUCGCCGUGGAUGCGGCGCAGCUCCGUCAGGCGCCGGCCCUGGCGCUGCCCCGCGUACACGGGCAGGUUGUGCAGGCGGGAGCGGCGCACCAGGUAGGGCAGCUCCGGGGGGGGGUCUGGGAAAGGGGCACCCCCGGGGGGUAAUUAGCACCCCCGGGGGGUAA
This 831-nucleotide long non-coding RNA is filed under the name Junco hyemalis (dark-eyed junco). Its description in RNAcentral is "lncRNA (ENSJHYG00000001258.1)". Lineage: Eukaryota; Metazoa; Chordata; Aves; Passeriformes; Passerellidae. The record is from RNAcentral.